Molecule: small nucleolar RNA, 173 nt
Filed under: Oryza sativa (Asian cultivated rice)
Lineage: Eukaryota; Viridiplantae; Streptophyta; Magnoliopsida; Poales; Poaceae
Description: Z124 small nucleolar RNA
Source: RNAcentral
GACGCAAAUAUGAGGAACCUCCUGCGUGGGGAGGUCAUACAGCUUGAGAGGAAAGGCUAUUACAGGUGCGAUGCCCCUUUUGUCAGAUCCUCGAAGCCGGUGGUUUUGUUCGCUAUCCCUGAUGGUCGACAGCAGGCCAGUUUAAACUAGGCGGCAUGAUUCUGAUGAGCUUC